UGAUGAAAAAAAAUAUCAAAAUAACUUUUAUUUAUUUAUAAUUCAUGUACUAAUACAAAAAGAGCACAACCAUUAACAGACUGACGAUUGGCUUUGGGACACUAUUCCCAACAGCUUGUCCACCACUUCGACCAUUUCUUGGAGAUGAUCUGCGAAGCUUGGCAAAUUUCAAGGGAGGUCGAAGAAAAGGCUGCUCAUGCCACUCGA
Molecule: long non-coding RNA, 207 nt
Filed under: Elaeis guineensis (African oil palm)
Lineage: Eukaryota; Viridiplantae; Streptophyta; Magnoliopsida; Arecales; Arecaceae
Description: long non-coding RNA (EGUI_LNC011148)
Source: RNAcentral